This 511-nucleotide long non-coding RNA is filed under the name Felis catus (domestic cat). RNAcentral's name for it is "lncRNA (ENSFCAG00000045140.2)". Lineage: Eukaryota; Metazoa; Chordata; Mammalia; Carnivora; Felidae. The record is from RNAcentral.
GGGAGGAGCUGGGAAGUAGGGGGAGGAGAGAGAAGAGAGAGUCUAUGAUUGUGUUCUAGUUUAGGCUACUGGCUGCUAAGACAGCACAACUUGCCCACACUGGGGACUAGGAAAGAGGAUUCUGUCUAGGGGGAGAGGGUGAGCUCAGCUGGAGUUGAAGGCUCCUUGAAUUUGAGGAGCUUGUGGGGCAUCUGAGCAGAAAACGAUGUGCACGAUUAUCCUAAGAUGCAGGGGUGGCUGGCACAAACCAGAGUUUGCUGACUCCUUCCUUUUCUAGAGAGAGAAGAGCGGAGUGCAGAACACAAGGCCAACAAGGACCACUUGAGAGGAUCAGCAACGGAGAGUCAUCUGCGUCUCAUGGAGGCGUCUCCUCCUCAACACAACUUUCUAAACCUGUCCAGCCGGUCAAGAAUCACUGCUGCUCUACCCAGUGACACACACUCCCUCUGAAAAAGCCUGGAAUUGCACAUGAUUAAAAGAAAAAAAAAAAGCAACUAAAGAAAAAGGCUCU